Molecule: non-coding RNA, 81 nt
Filed under: uncultured Paramuribaculum sp.
Lineage: Bacteria; Pseudomonadati; Bacteroidota; Bacteroidia; Bacteroidales; Muribaculaceae
Source: RNAcentral
AAGGGGUGCCGAAGUUAUUUCUGAGGCUGAGAUUUAUACCCUCUGAACCUGAUACGGUUAAUGCCGUCGAAGGGAUUGUUU